UUCAGCCUUUCAUUUUACCCGAGCCCCUCUCUCUCUCUCCUCAGAAACUCUCUCUCUCUCUCUCUGCGUGUUACUGUUGCCGACGACGCAGGAGUACUUUCCGGCCACCAUUUUUAGCCACGCGCCGGACCGUUGGAUUCAGAGGCCUCCGAACUAUCGACCCACGCGGGAAUCUAGAGCUCACUCGCCGAUUAAACGCCUCAACCACUCGAUUUAAGUUCGGCCACCCCGCGACUUCAAAGUUGCGAUUCGGCCACCUCGGGCAUCCGUUUGCCGAUCCGUCACCACCAUCGUGCUCCUCGUGUUGUGGGCUUCAAAACCCAAUAACUUGUUCCUACAUCUACCAUAGUUGGGUGGUGGGCCCACCACGAGCCACCGCGAUCCACCGUAGACCGACGGUCGAAACUUAGUGUUCGAGGUUCCGAAGUACGUUUUGAGUCUCAGAAAAUCAUCGUUUGACUUAUUGUGGAACCCGAUAAUUUUGGAAUUGUAUGGAUUUGAUUGAUUGACUCUUGGUGAGCCGUUUUAAAAUAAGCUAAGGACCUAAGGUGUGGCUUUAGCUGUUGAGCAACUUGUGGAGCACGGACUCAGUAGCAAUGCAAUAAUGGUUUAGAGUUUUCAUAUGGCUGCCUUAAAUUUAAAGUAUUCAUACGUGUAAUAAUUUCUUCUAAUAAGUUUAUAUAAAAGUUUUAAAUUUUUCUGUAUUUCUUCGUAUCAUUUUAUUUAAUUCUUUUGGUCAAGUGCCUUACAUACUCGUAAAUCCUAGAAUUACGAGUAUGUGGCAGACGUACCCUACCUUAGGGACGUUACAGUAGGCUCGGACCUACCCGAGGUGAGAGGCCAAGGGAGUUGGCUCGGACCACCUUGGUCCGAGGAGAGCCAAGCAUGCAUGACCUUGGUCCGAGGAGAGCCAUGCAUACAUCACUUUGAGCCAAGGAAAGCUUGAAGGAGUAAUCAACAUGCAUGUGAGACUACGUCAAAAUCCCCGGAACGACUUUAGCAAGAAUCGGUCUAGGCACUCGGGAAUCUCUCAUUCCUCACUCAAAUUGAGGAAUCUGUUGUAUUUUAUAUAUUUUUUGUAAUUUAAAUAUAAGAUGAAUAAUAAAAUAUCCCUAUCUAAAGGGGAUAUCAGUUGAGGAUCCCAGGCCUAUAAAUAGAGGGUUGGUGGGAUCGUAAAAGGACUUUUGGCAAAUUGAGAGUUAAUCGGUGUUCUAGAGAGAGAAAGUGUGUUUUUCUUGAGAGAACCCCUUUUUUGUAUUCUGGAAUUUUUACACUAAGAAACUCAGUUGACACUGGUUCAUCUGAUCUUGAGUGUGAAUACAGUAAUAAAAUCUCUAAGUGGAUUAGGCUAUUACC
Humulus lupulus (European hop) is the source of this 1356-nucleotide long non-coding RNA. RefSeq lists it as uncharacterized. Lineage: Eukaryota; Viridiplantae; Streptophyta; Magnoliopsida; Rosales; Cannabaceae. The transcript has 3 exons. The record is from RefSeq and is a predicted model, not a curated record.